This 72-nucleotide transfer RNA is filed under the name Amborella trichopoda. Its description in RNAcentral is "tRNA AMTR_s00189t00274640". The record is from RNAcentral. Lineage: Eukaryota; Viridiplantae; Streptophyta; Magnoliopsida; Amborellales; Amborellaceae.
AUGUACUAGUACAUACUACAUGUACUACUACGACUAGUACAUAGGUAUUAGUGCUACUCUAGCAGUAUGUAC